AGCGGGGGCCCGUGCCCGACGCGGGGGAUCGAUGACUCGGCCGGUGGGCACGGCCACCUGGGACAGACCAUGGUGGCCCAGCCUGUGCAUGUGUAGCAGCUACUGAAGCUCAAGCAGCAGGCUGCGCAGCAGCAGAAGGCCAUCCAGCCACAAGCCAGCAGACGGACAUCCCUGAGGGGUCCCAGACUGUGAGAGGGCACAGACCAGGCUGAGGGACCCUCCACCCCCAGUGUACAAAUUUUGUGCACCGGGCCUCUAUUGCCCCUAGGAGGAUGGUCUCACUGAUUCUUCUUGGUUCAUUAAGAAGAAACAGAAAGAUCCUGUGUGUUGAGAGACUCUUUCUGGAUCAUUUCCCAAUGAUCAUAUAGGACUUGGUAAUCCAUUGGCAAAGGUGAUGGUGACAAUGGGGUGUUUGGCAAAGUGGAUGAGGUGGCUGAUGGAAUAGCUUAGGUUAAGAAGAAUGCUUGGCAAGGCAUCAUGAAACAAUGUCUGAAAUGUUCAAAACAGAGAUUCGUUUAAUAGGAAAAAAGAAAAUGUUUAGCAACUAUAGUAAUUUCUUCUGAGCACUGAGCUGAGAAAUAGCUAGUCUGAUUUUGUAGCCGUGAACCGAGAUGUCUUUGAACAAUACAGAAGUUUAAUUAAACAGGCAGACAUUUUGAAACCAGUCACUGAAAUUAAAAAUUAUGUUUUAAAUUUUGUUAGUCAAUAAAUAUUAGACAAGAACCUAACCUUGCAUUCUGCACACCUCAUCCCUAAAGUCAGUGUAGGUCUGAAUAAA
This is a long non-coding RNA of Eptesicus fuscus (big brown bat), 778 nucleotides long. RefSeq lists it as uncharacterized. NCBI's taxonomy places the organism in Eukaryota, Metazoa, Chordata, Mammalia, Chiroptera, Vespertilionidae. The record is from RefSeq and is a predicted model, not a curated record. The transcript is spliced from 3 exons.